ACAUCCCUUUGCCAAGACUCGACUCUCUUUCGCUCUCACACCCCUCCCACACUCGCCCCCCGCCUCCCUCCUCGUCAGCUCUGUCGCGCCAUCUCGACCCCCUGUGCCAUCGCUUCUCCUGCCCAUCUCCGCCUCACCUUUUUGUUUGCUGCGCCUUUGCGAAGAUGUAUUCCCAUAUCGGCGUUCUGAUCUACGUGAUCCUCCAGUUCCUCGCGUUGCUUUGUUUGGUGGUGGCUACGCCGUUCGACAUGUUUCGCGAGGUGAAGGGCGGGGUCUUCGGCGGCAGCGCUUGUGUGACGCUAUGGGGUUUACAGAAGGUGUGCUUGGGCACAGAGUACAUCAUGAAGACGGAGUUGCUGUGGAAGAAUUGCCCGAGCCGCCGCGACCGUUUCCUCCUUGCUCAGGCGUUUGAUGUCAUCUCACUCGCCGUGUACGCCGUAGCGUUUCUGUUCGGUUUCAUUUUGCUGUGGUGCUGCUCUGCCUUUCGCUGGGUCUGCGUGGCCCUCAACAUCGUCGGCAUCGGCACCGUGUGCGUCGUCUGGGUGCUGAUGGUGAAGGUCUACCACAUCGAUGAUGGCACUGUUUGCAUGGUUCUGGACAAGGGCUUCCGCUUUGGUAUCGGCUUUGGUCUCUUAUUGGUGGCCUGGGUGCUGGAUAUCAUCGCCAUCUUCUUCUUGCUGCUGCCAUUAGAGGCCAAGCAGGACAGUGAGAGUACAAAGUCGGAGGAAACGGAAGAAGCAGAAGCACCGGAAAAACCAAAAGACGCGAACGAACAGGAGUAGGCAGCCAAGAGCGGAAGGAGGCGGAGGGCGAUGCUGACAGCAGUGCGGGCCCACUGCGAAGACGCCCUCGUGGAGGUGCCGGCGGUGCCCACGCCAGUGGGGAAGAGGGAUCGAAAGCUGCGGGUCCUCGUGCCUGCCUCUCGCUGGCUUCUCGUGUGUGUGUGUGCGUGCGUGUGCUGUGCUCCUCGUGCGUUCUGAAGGCGGUGCGCACGCGCACCCACACGCUGCUGCAGACAUCCCGAGGAGCUGCGCGCGCUCCUUUUGUCUUCGCGUCUCUUUUCCCUUUGUUUGCUCGCACUGUUCUCGGUGCGCGUGCGUUUCUUCCCGAGUGAUUGCCUCCUUGUCAGGCGUUGCUGCAGUGUAUGGGAGGGUCUGCUGCCUUGCUCAUGGCAGAACGACACGUGGCCAAAAAAGUCGAGUUUGUUUUCACACGGUCUCUCCCCGGUGUGUCUCUUUUCGUCCUUCUGUGCUUUCUUCAUUUUUGCUGUUUUCAUCGGUACCGCGAUCUGCCCUUUGUGGUGAGCAACGCACGCAUGGCACCGACAAGCCCGCCCAUGCCCCCUUCCCCCCUCUCUGCCCCUCGCCUUCACUAUCUCCUCGACAUCGCCCCCCUCCCGCUCACCCGACGCACCUUUGCGAAGUGAAGAAGCAAAGGACGCAGCAAGAUGCCCACACGGUCGCCGCCGGCCGGAGAAUCAGCGGGGGGGAGGGGAGGAGAGAGGAGAGCGGGCAAAACGGAGGGGGCAGGCAAACGCAAAGGCGGGCGGGGGAAACCGAUGCCCUCGCGCGAAGGACGGGAAACGCAGCGCCACGCCGCAUCGGUCACCCGCCUCCGUCCCACCCCCAUCCAUACCCCAUAGCUGAGAUCGCGCGUCUUUCUGGCGCUUCUCUCUCGCGUGCCCUUUGGCCCUCGUCGCUGCCUCUCCUCCCUCACACACGCCUCAUGGACUACUUGAACGGAGAAGGGCGAGGGGCGGGGGGGGCGAGGCGCCACAGGGGGUGGCUGCAGGGGGGCGGGGUAGGAAUCAGGCAAGCUGAUGAGCAAGCGCACCGGGGAGGCCAGAGGACAGCGUCUGUGCGCACAGCAGCGGCGCACAGAUGCAUGCACGAACCAGGAGAAACGAUGACAGCACUCGCUCCUCCUCUUUCUGUGCUCCUCAUGCACGGUGCGUGCGCGUGCACAAGAGGACACCCCCACCGUGCAAGGGCGUGUGGGGUCGGGGGAGGCAGCGGAGGAGAGGGCAAGACGGACUGGGGAAGGAGGGAAGCUCUCUGAGGCAUGAAGGCCGACCAUACGUCGGGCAUACGUGCGUCACGUGUGCGCAUGCUCGUGCGUGUGGGCGCGUGCACCCUUGUGACCCCGCUCCCCCUCCCAUGAGUGUCGCGCUCCACGUUGCCCUUCUCUUGCUGCUGCGGCUCUCCCGUGCUCCUGGAACUCACAGGAGGACACCAAAAAGCACCACGACGACACGGAGAAGAAAAUCGAGCACCGCCUCGAUCUCCUCUGCUGUCGUGGUUUUCUUUUCUCGCUUCUGUUGUUUGCAGCUUGCUGCCCCGCGUUUUCGUUUUCUUUGUCGUUUUCAUUAUUAUUUUUUCUUUCUGUCGCUUCUCGCUUUCUUCUCUCGUUCCUCCGCAGAAACUUCGUAUGGACUUGUGCGUGCGUGUGCCUCUCUGCCUUUUCUCUCUUGUUGUCGUUGUGCGCUGCUGCCCUUGUUUCUGUUUCGCUCUGUGCGCAGGCGACAGGCUGAUGGAGAGGAUGAAAAAACGGAACGAAAGGCGACAGCAAUACAGCGGAGGAGGGGAAAAGGCGCGUGCAACGGCAGCAGCACAGGCGCGCAGGCACAGGAAGGUGGGCAAUCGAACGACGGCACACAAAGCGGAUAGGGUCGGUACACAGACGUGAGGAAAGCGGAAGGGAGACAGGGCUGCAUUUCUGUUGCUCUUCGUGACCCGAGUCCGUCCGUGCCUGUGUGCCUGUGCCUGCGCUCCUUGUGUCCUUUUACCUCUCCGCCUCUAUCGUGCUUUUUCCGUGCUUGUUUCUUCAUCGUUUCAUUUACAACGUCAAAUCCUCCAG
This 2856-nucleotide unclassified non-coding RNA is filed under the name Leishmania donovani. Its description in RNAcentral is "gene:LdHU3.29.2050(CDS-product:Amastin_surface_gl ycoprotein_putative)". The record is from RNAcentral. Lineage: Eukaryota; Euglenozoa; Kinetoplastea; Trypanosomatida; Trypanosomatidae.